UGGGGAAUUUUGGACAAUGGGCGCAAGCCUGAUCCAGCCAUGCCGCGUGCAGGAAGAAGGCCUUCGGGUUGUAAACUGCUUUUGUCAGGGAAGAAAUCCUUUGGGUUAAUACCUCGAAGGGAUGACGGUACCUGAAGAAUAAGCACCGGCUAACUACGUGCCAGCAGCCGCGGUAAUACGUAGGGUGCGAGCGUUAAUCGGAAUUACUGGGCGUAAAGCGUGCGCAGGCGGCUUUGCAAGACAGAUGUGAAAUCCCCGGGCUCAACCUGGGAACUGCAUUUGUGACUGCAAGGCUAGAGUGCGGCAGAGGGAGAUGGAAUUCCGCGUGUAGCAGUGAAAUGCGUAGAUAUGCGGAGGAACACCGAUGGCGAAGGCAAUCUCCUGGGCCUGCACUGACGCUCAUGCACGAAAGCGUGGGGAGCAAACNGGAUUAGAUACCCUGGUAGUCCACGCCCUAAANGAUGUNAACUGGUUGUUGGACGGCUUGCUGUUCAGUAACGAAGCUAACGCGUGAAGUUGACCGCCUGGGGAGUACGGCCGCAAGGUUGAAACGCAAA
This 557-nucleotide ribosomal RNA is filed under the name uncultured bacterium. RNAcentral's name for it is "partial 16S ribosomal RNA". It matches the Rfam family "Bacterial small subunit ribosomal RNA", at positions 355 to 905 of the family's 1533-position model. The record is from RNAcentral.